GGAGAAACACCAUCCAGGUAGACAGGUUGUUCUUGCUCCUCAUAGGGGCAAUGAAACCUUUCCCUCUGGAAAAAACUGUUCAGAAGAUUAAAAUGGCAAGAUAUAAAAAAUUCCCUAAUUUCCCAAGUAGACGUUGGGUUAGGAAAAGAAGGAAAAGAAGGAGGAGAGUGAAACAUUCUCCUAUUUCAUCUGUCCCUGAAGCUAUUCUUGUUACUUCUGAGGUUUCUUCUGACACCUCUCUAUAGGGAUGAAGAAAAAAGGAGAAGAGGGAGAAAGAGAAGAAGAGGCAUGGAACCAUACAAUUUGAGAAGAAAGAGCGUGAUGGUAUCUUAGAUGUGCAGGGUCCCUACUUCAACACUGGAGCAAAACCAGGACCUGUCUCAAUAAAGUGUACAAAAUAAAAUAAAAAA
Monodelphis domestica (gray short-tailed opossum) is the source of this 410-nucleotide long non-coding RNA. RefSeq lists it as uncharacterized. Lineage: Eukaryota; Metazoa; Chordata; Mammalia; Didelphimorphia; Didelphidae. The record is from RefSeq and is a predicted model, not a curated record.